UAAAUGAAAGCCAAAUAGAGGUACCUAUCUGUUAAUUAGGAGAUUGUAAAUUAUUAAUUACUCAUUUAG
This 69-nucleotide transfer RNA is filed under the name Anentome sp. YY-2021. Its description in RNAcentral is "tRNA-Asn". The record is from RNAcentral. Lineage: Eukaryota; Metazoa; Mollusca; Gastropoda; Neogastropoda; Nassariidae.